This 717-nucleotide ribosomal RNA is filed under the name Calliderma fibulatum. RNAcentral describes it as "LSU rRNA". It matches the Rfam family "Eukaryotic large subunit ribosomal RNA", at positions 146 to 874 of the family's 3401-position model. The record is from RNAcentral. Lineage: Eukaryota; Fungi; Basidiomycota; Agaricomycetes; Agaricales; Entolomataceae.
UAAUCUGGAGAAGCACUAUCCGCGCUGAACCAUGUAUAAGUCUUCUGGAAUGGAGUGUCAUAGAGGGUGAGAAUCCCGUCUUUGACAUGGACUACCAGUGCUUUUGUGAUGUGCUCUCAAAGAGUCGACUUGUUUGGGAAUGCAGCUCUAAAUGGGUGGUAAAUUCCAUCUAAAGCUAAAUAUUGGCAAGAGACCGAUAGCGAACAAGUACCGUGAGGGAAAGAUGAAAAGAACUUUGGAAAGAGAGUUAAACAGUACGUGAAAUUGUUGAAAGGGAAACGCUUGAAGUCAGUCACAUUGACUAGGAAUCAACCUUGCAUCUUUGCUUGGUGUAUUUUCUGGUUAAUGGGUCAGCAUCAAUUUUGACCGGUGGAAAAAGGUCAAGGGAACGUGGCAUCCUUGGAUGUGUUAUAGCCUUUGAUUGUAUACACUGGUUAGGAUUGAGGAACUCAGUACUUGUUGCUUAGGAUGCUGGCAUAAUGGCUUUAAUCGACCCGUCUUGAAACACGGACCAAGGAGUCUAACAUGCCUGCAAGUGUUUGGGUGGAAAACCCAAGCGCGCAAUGAAAGUGAAAGUUGGGAUCCUUGUCAUGGGGAGCACCGACACCCAGACCAGACCUUCUGUGACGGAUCUGCGGUAGAGCAUGUAUGUUGGGACCCGAAAGAUGGUGAACUAUGCCUGAAUAGGGUGAAGCCAGAGGAAACUCUGGUGGAGGC